GACGAACGCUGGCGGCGUGCUUAACACAUGCAAGUCGAACGGAAAGGCCCUGCUUUUGUGGGGUGCUCGAGUGGCGAACGGGUGAGUAACACGUGAGUAACCUGCCCUUGACUUUGGGAUAACUUCAGGAAACUGGGGCUAAUAACGGAUAGGAGCUCCUGCUGCAUGGUGGGGGUUGGAAAGUUUCGGCGGUUGGGGAUGGACUCGCGGCUUAUCAGCUUGUGGGUGGGGUAGUGGCUUACCAAGGCUUUGACGGGUAGCCGGCCUGAGAGGGUGACCGGCCACAUUGGGACUGAGAUACGGCCCAGACUCCUACGGGAGGCAGCAGUGGGGAAUAUUGCACAAUGGGCGGAAGCCUGAUGCAGCAACGCCGCGUGCGGGAUGACGGCCUUCGGGUUGUAAACCGCUUUCGCCUGUGACGAAGCGUGAGUGACGGUAAUGGGUAAAGAAGCACCGGCUAACUACGUG
This 468-nucleotide ribosomal RNA is filed under the name uncultured bacterium. RNAcentral's name for it is "partial 16S ribosomal RNA". It matches the Rfam family "Bacterial small subunit ribosomal RNA", at positions 28 to 507 of the family's 1533-position model. The record is from RNAcentral.